This 663-nucleotide ribosomal RNA is filed under the name Triticum aestivum (bread wheat). RNAcentral's name for it is "partial small subunit ribosomal RNA". The record is from RNAcentral. Lineage: Eukaryota; Viridiplantae; Streptophyta; Magnoliopsida; Poales; Poaceae.
AUGGCGCUAGCGGCCGGCAGUGAGAGCCGAGAGCCCGAGAAGAUGAGAUCGAUCUAUUCUGCUGGGUUGGUUGAUCUGAAGAAGGAAGCUCUUAGCUUAUCUAAGCUGAUUAAUAACUUUCAAUUGGCUAAGAUUAGUCGGUCGGCGAAUGUGGUGGCUCAUUUCAUAGCAAAGUUUAGUUUUGACAAUAGAUCCGAUGAGUCGCGCGCGAUCGCGAGGUACAUCCUGCGCAAGUAUAGGACGCCGGGGUCGCCGGACCUGCUGGGAGAGAACGGCGGCGCCAAUGGGGCGACAAUGGUGGACGUGUGGACGGAGGUGGAAGCGCAGCAGUACCACCCGGCCAUCUCGCCCGUGGUGUUCGAGUGCAUCAUCUUCCCCGUCAUGCGCGGCGCCGCCACGGACCAGAAGUUCGUCGACGAGAGCCUGGAGCGGCUGAGGGGGGUGCUGGGGACGUACGAGGAGCGGCUGUCCGAGAGCAGGUACCUGGCCGGGGACUCCUUCAGCUUCGCGGACCUCAACCACUUCCCCUUCACCUUCUACUUCAUGGCCACCCCGUACGCGGCCCUCUUCGACGAGUACCCCAGGGUGAAGGCCUGGUGGGAGGACCUCAUGGCCAGACCUUCGGUCAAGAGGGUCUGCGCCAAUAUGCCCACCAAGUUCUAG